AGCUUGCUCUUAUGAAGUUAGCGGCGGACGGGGCAGAACACGGAUGGGUAACCUGCCCAUAAGACUGGGAUAACUCUCGGGAAACCGGGGCUAAUACCGGAUAACAUUUUGAACCGCAUGGUUCGAAAUUGAAAGGCGGCUUCGGCUGUCACUUAUGGAUGGACCCGCGUCGCAUUAGCUAGUUGGUGAGGUAACGGCUCACCAAGGCAACGAUGCGUAGCCGACCUGAGAGGGUGAUCGGCCACACUGGGACUGAGACACGGCCCAGACUCCUACGGGAGGCAGCAGUAGGGAAUCUUCCGCAAUGGACGAAAGUCUGACGGAGCAACGCCGCGUGAGUGAUGAAGGCUUUCGGGUCGUAAAACUCUGUUGUUAGGGAAGAACAAGUGCUAGUUGAAUAAGCUGGCACCUUGACGGUACCUAACCAGAAAGCCACGGCUAACUACGUGCCAGCAGCCGCGGUAAUACGUAGGUGGCAAGCGUUAUCCGGAAUUAUUGGGCGUAAAGCGCGCGCAGGUGGUUUCUUAAGUCUGAUGUGAAAGCCCACGGCUCAACCGUGGAGGGUCAUUGGAAACUGGGAGACUUGAGUGCAGAAGAGGAAAGUGGAAUUCCAUGUGUAGCGGUGAAAUGCGUAGAGAUAUGGGAGGAACACCAGUGGCGAAGGCGACUUUCCGGGUCUGUAACUGACCACUGAGGGCGCGAAAGCGUGGGGGAGCAAACAGGAUUAGAUACCCUGGUAGUCCACGCCCGUAAACGAUGAGUGCUAAGUGUUAGAGGGUUUCCGCCCCUUUAGUGCUGAAGUUAACGCAUUAAGCACUCCGCCUGGGGAGUACGGCCGCAAGGCUGAAACUCAAAGGAAUUGACGGGGGCCCGCACAAGCGGUGGAGCAUGUGGUUUCUCUUCGAAGCAACGCGAAGAACCUUACCAGGUCUUGACAUCCUCUGACAACCCUAGAGAUAGGGCUUCUCCUUCGGGAGCAGAGUGACAGGUGGUGCAUGGUUGUCGUCAGCUCGUGUCGUGAGAUGUUGGGUUAAGUCCCGCAACGAGCGCAACCCUUGAUCUUAGUUGCCAUCAUUAAGUUGGGCACUCUAAGGUGACUGCCGGUGACAAACCGGAGGAAGGUGGGGAUGACGUCAAAUCAUCAUGCCCCUUAUGACCUGGGCUACACACGUGCUACAAUGGACGGUACAAAGAGCUGCAAGACCGCGAGGUGGAGCUAAUCUCAUAAAACCGUUCUCAGUUCGGAUUGUAGGCUGCAACUCGCCUACAUGAAGCUGGAAUCGCUAGUAAUCGCGGAUCAGCAUGCCGCGGUGAAUACGUUCCCGGGCCUUGUACCCCCCGCCCUCCACCACGAGAGUUUGUAACACCCGAAGUCGGUGGGGUAACCUUUUGGAGCCAGCCGCC
This 1404-nucleotide ribosomal RNA is filed under the name Bacillus cereus. RNAcentral describes it as "bacterial SSU rRNA". It matches the Rfam family "Bacterial small subunit ribosomal RNA". Lineage: Bacteria; Bacillati; Bacillota; Bacilli; Caryophanales; Bacillaceae. The record is from RNAcentral.